UGGAUCCAGACUUUGAUCAUGGCUCAGGAUGAACGCUAGCUACAGGCUUAACACAUGCAAGUCGAGGGGCAGCGGGAUUGAAGCUUGCUUCAAUUGCCGGCGACCAGCGCACGGGUGAGUAACGCGUAUCCAACCUUCCGUACACUCAGGGAUAGCCUUUCGAAAGAAAGAUUAAUACCUGAUAGUAUCUUAAGCACACAUGUAAUUAAGAUUAAAGAUUUAUCGGUGUACGAUGGGGAUGCGCUCCAUUAGGUAGUAGGCGGGGUAACGGCCCACCUAGCCGACGAUGGAUAGGGGUUCUGAGAGGAAGGUCCCCCACAUUGGAACUGAGACACGGUCCAAACUCCUACGGGAGGCAGCAGUGAGGAAUAUUGGUCAAUGGACGAGAGUCUGAACCAGCCAAGUAGCGUGAAGGAUGAAGGUCCUACGGAUUGUAAACUUCUUUUAUAAGGGAAUAAACCCUCCCACGUGUGGGAGCUUGUAUGUACCUUAUGAAUAAGCAUCGGCUAACUCCGUGCCAGCAGCCGCGGUAAUACGGAGGAUGCGAGCGUUAUCCGGAUUUAUUGGGUUUAAAGGGAGCGCAGACGGGUCGUUAAGUCAGCUGUGAAAGUUUGGGGCUCAACCUUAAAAUUGCAGUUGAUACUGGCGUCCUUGAGUGCGGUUGAGGUGUGCGGAAUUCGUGGUGUAGCGGUGAAAUGCUUAGAUAUCACGAAGAACUCCGAUUGCGAAGGCAGCACACUAAGCCGUAACUGACGUUCAUGCUCGAAAGUGUGGGUAUCAAACAGGAUUAGAUACCCUGGUAGUCCACACGGUAAACGAUGGAUACUCGCUGUUGGCGAUAUACUGUCAGCGGCUUAGCGAAAGCGUUAAGUAUCCCACCUGGGGAGUACGCCGGCAACGGUGCAACUCAAAGGAAUUGACGGA
This 924-nucleotide ribosomal RNA is filed under the name uncultured Bacteroidota bacterium. Its description in RNAcentral is "bacterial SSU rRNA". It matches the Rfam family "Bacterial small subunit ribosomal RNA", at positions 1 to 917 of the family's 1533-position model. The record is from RNAcentral. Lineage: Bacteria; Pseudomonadati; Bacteroidota.